GAUGAACGCUGGCGGCGUGCCUAAUACAUGCAAGUCGAGCGAACGGACGAGAAGCUUGCUUCUCUGAUGUUAGCGGCGGACGGGUGAGUAACACGUGGAUAACCUACCUAUAAGACUGGGAUAACUUCGGGAAACCGUAGCUAAUACCGGAUAAUAUUUUGAACCGCAUGGUUCAAAAGUGAAAGACGGUCUUGCUGUCACUUAUAGAUGGAUCCGCGCUGCAUUAGCUAGUUGGUAAGGUAACGGCUUACCAAGGCAACGAUGCAUAGCCGACCUGAGAGGGUGAUCGGCCACACUGGAACUGAGACACGGUCCAGACUCCUACGGGAGGCAGCAGUAGGGAAUCUUCCGCAAUGGGCGAAAGCCUGACGGAGCAACGCCGCGUGAGUGAUGAAGGUCUUCGGAUCGUAAAACUCUGUUAUUAGGGAAGAACAUAUGUGUAAGUAACUGUGCACAUCUUGACGGUACCUAAUCAGAGAGCCACGGCUAACUACGUG
This 497-nucleotide ribosomal RNA is filed under the name uncultured bacterium. Its description in RNAcentral is "partial 16S ribosomal RNA". It matches the Rfam family "Bacterial small subunit ribosomal RNA", at positions 28 to 507 of the family's 1533-position model. The record is from RNAcentral.